CUUUAAUUGUAUUCUUAUAUUAAGUUUCUAACCUCUUCCUGUAUGUUGUCAGCAUUGUUGUAACAGCUAGAGUUACUGCAUGAAAAAGAUGUUCAUGCCCAUUUCUUCUAUAAUUAGUGCAUGACAAGCAUUCAGUUCAUGAGGAGGAAGGCACAAGGGUGCAUCCAAUGCAGUUGCCAUUUUGAAAGCGGUAACAGCAGACUUUAGCUUUGUACAGCAUUAUCCCGGUCAAACACUAGAUAUUGAUGUACUGUAAUUGGCAAAAAAAAUUUGGUUAAGUAGUUAAAUUAUAACCAUAUGCAUAGAAUAGGCCCUCUUUUGGCUUUAGUAAACAUGUUCUGAAGCUGCUUAAGUAUUGAUGUCCAACAUUGUCAAAAAAUGGUUAAUGGCCUUUGAAGCUAACAAAACUUUAUUUAAACAAAAAUGUAUUAGGUUCUAAUAUGGCGGAUGCCAUAAAAGACAUUGUUGACAUUCAGGUCAAAUGAUUGGCCCUGGACCAUAUAUUAUUAUCUAACUUCUUUCACUAUACUUGUUGUGAUUUAAAGGAGCACUAUAGUGCCAGGAAAAAAACUUAUUAGGUCCCCCCCUCCUGCUGGGUUGAAGUGAUUUAAACCUCUUCAGCCACUUACCUUAAUCCAGUGCCAUGCUCCCUCGGCGCUGGUGACCUUUCCUCCCCCUGCCGACUUCCGCUCUGAAUGCGCGGCCAGAGCUGUGCGUGCAUUUAGACCGCCCAUAGGAAAGCAUUACUCAAUCCUUUCCUAUGGACGUCAGCGUGUCUUCAAUGCGAUUUUCGCAUUGAGGAUCGCAGAAGCAGCCUCUAGUGGCUGUCAGGGAGACAGCCACUAGAGGCUGGAUUAACCCUCAAUGUAAACAUAGCCUAAAGUGGUCCUUUAAUUUAUAUCAGUACAUACCAAUAUAUGUAUAUAAUCAAAAUGUUUACAGUAUCAUGCUGAACAUAGCUUUUAGUAAUGUUAUCUUUGAAAAUAUAAAUAGUAUUUUAUGACUUCUAUAUUAAAAUAUUACAGGGUGUUAUUGUAAUCUAAGCAACUCCAUCAUCCAAAUGAAUUUCCUGUAAAUAAUACAUUUUUCAUUUUAUCAAAUUUAGAUUACAGUAAAAAAAUAUUAGCCAUAAUUUGACAUUGAGGGUUUCUCAUUUUUUGAGUAUUGUACAUAAGAAAACUAUUUUCAUAGCCAACUUGUCAUGAAUGAGCCUGGGGAUUGCAAGCAAGAGAGUCACUUUUCUCAACAGUAGGCCAAACAGAAAAUGCACGUUCAUAUAUCAAUGCCUUGCUCACAG
Non-coding RNA from Pelobates cultripes (western spadefoot toad), 1297 nucleotides. The record is from the annotation of a GenBank genome assembly. NCBI's taxonomy places the organism in Eukaryota, Metazoa, Chordata, Amphibia, Anura, Pelobatidae.